CAGCCGCCACGGGAACACGGAGGGUGCAAGCGUUACUCGGAAUCACUGGGCGUAAAGGACGCGUAGGCGGAUUAUCAAGUCUCUUGUGAAAUCUAACGGCUUAACCGCUAAACUGCUUGGGAAACUGAUAAUCUAGAGUAAGGGAGAGGCAAAUGGAAUUCUUGGUGUAGGGGUAAAAUCCGUAGAGAUCAAGAAGAAUACCCAUUGCGAAAGCGAUCUGCUGGAACUUAACUGACGCUAAUGCGUGAAAGCGUGGGGAGCGAACAGGAUUAGAUACCCCCGUAGUCCCUGUCUCUUAUAC
Molecule: ribosomal RNA, 301 nt
Filed under: uncultured bacterium
Lineage: Bacteria
Description: partial 16S ribosomal RNA
Rfam family: Bacterial small subunit ribosomal RNA
Source: RNAcentral